RNAcentral lists this non-coding RNA (139 nucleotides) under uncultured Parabacteroides sp. Its description in RNAcentral is "Bacteroidete tryptophan peptide leader RNA". It matches the Rfam family "Bacteroidete tryptophan peptide leader RNA". The record is from RNAcentral. Lineage: Bacteria; Pseudomonadati; Bacteroidota; Bacteroidia; Bacteroidales; Tannerellaceae.
AGCAAAUAAGGCAAUGAGAACAUUUAUAGUAAAUACAUAUUGGUGGUGGCGCUCCGUACAACCCGCAAGGUCGUAAGGGACGAAGGCCUAUAUGUAUUUACGAGUAAAAGGAACACGAGAUAAAGAAAAGAGGUCUGUC